RNAcentral lists this ribosomal RNA (384 nucleotides) under uncultured eukaryote. RNAcentral describes it as "SSU rRNA". It matches the Rfam family "Eukaryotic small subunit ribosomal RNA", at positions 587 to 972 of the family's 1831-position model. The record is from RNAcentral.
AACUCCAAUAGCGUAUAUUAAAGUUGUUGCAGUUAAAAAGGUUGUAGUUGAACUUGUGGCCUGGAUGGCUUGAUCUGAUGCUUAUGCGUGAGUACCUGAGCCAUUCAACCAUCCUUGGAUGGCAUCUGUAUGGCAUUAAGUUGUCAUGUAGGGGAUGCCUAUUGUUUACUGUGAAAAAGUUAGAGUGGUCAAAGCAGGCUUAUAACGUUGAAUAUAUUAGCAUGGAAUAAUGAUAUAGGACUUUGGUAUUAUUUUGUUGGUUUGUGCACUAAAGUAAUGAUUAAUAGGGACAGUUGGGGAUAGUUGUAUUUUUAAGUCAGAGGUGAAAUUCUUGGAUUCUUUAAGGACUGACUACUACAAAAGCAUCUAUCAAGGAUAUUUUCA